GAACAGGAGUUUCUGUUUCCUGUACCCGGUCAGACUGACAGGAAGGUGCACACUGAGCGUGCACCUUCCUAUCAUUCCGGCCGGCCACCGCAGACAGCAGAGCAGCUCGGCCACGCUACAGGAGAGGUGAGAACCAACUGCAGCCGCCUGACCGCUCUUGACAGAGCGCUCAGGCGGCUGCAGUAUUUAAAGGGCUGGCGUAUAACACGCACCCAUAAUUUUCCCCCUAUUUUCAGGGAGAAAAAGUGCGUGUUAUACGCCGAUAAAUACGGUAUAUAUAUUGUAACAGAGUCUAUGGGAGGGUAAUAGAAAGAAGGUAUUUAGGACCCAGACUCCUCCAUAGCCUGUACUCAUUCACCUUCCCAAUUAGCAACUGCUGAGGCUUUAAUUAGCAGGUCUCAGAGCAGAAAGGGGGAGAUACAGAGAGAGAGCAGGUCUGUGCUGAGCAGCACCAAACAAAGUGCUAAAGGUUGGUGAAACCAAUGUUUAUUUUGUUGAAUUGUGUAGUUUAUUACCCUGGUUUAGUAAGGGACAUUACUUUAUGUUUAGUUAGUGCUCGAAUUUGAGCUAGGAUUUUGUUUGUAGACUUUCCUUUCUGUUUUGCUGAAGUUUUGUACAAACUGAUUGCUGCAUGGAAUUUUGUGCACGAUGUAAAUAAGCCACACCAUUUUUGCAUAAGAGACUGUUGUUCUGUACCUGUUACCCUAGAGGACUGUGUUGCUUUGCCCUUAAAGGUCAC
Molecule: non-coding RNA, 739 nt
Organism: Pelobates cultripes (western spadefoot toad)
Lineage: Eukaryota; Metazoa; Chordata; Amphibia; Anura; Pelobatidae
Source: the annotation of a GenBank genome assembly